RNAcentral lists this ribosomal RNA (1445 nucleotides) under uncultured organism. RNAcentral's name for it is "16S ribosomal RNA". It matches the Rfam family "Bacterial small subunit ribosomal RNA". The record is from RNAcentral.
AACGCUGGCGGCGUGCUUAACACAUGCAAGUCGAACGGAAAGGCCCUGCUUUUGUGGGGUGCUCGAGUGGCGAACGGGUGAGUAACACGUGAGUAACCUGCCCUUGACUUUGGGAUAACUUCAGGAAACUGGGGCUAAUACCGGAUAGGAGCUCCUGCUGCAUGGUGGGGGUUGGAAAGUUUCGGCGGUUGGGGAUGGACUCGCGGCUUAUCAGCUUGUUGGUGGGGUAGUGGCUUACCAAGGCUUUGACGGGUAGCCGGCCUGAGAGGGUGACCGGCCACAUUGGGACUGAGAUACGGCCCAGACUCCUACGGGAGGCAGCAGUGGGGAAUAUUGCACAAUGGGCGGAAGCCUGAUGCAGCAACGCCGCGUGCGGGAUGACGGCCUUCGGGUUGUAAACCGCUUUCGCCUGUGACGAAGCGUGAGUGACGGUAAUGGGUAAAGAAGCACCGGCUAACUACGUGCCAGCAGCCGCGGUGAUACGUAGGGUGCGAGCGUUGUCCGGAUUUAUUGGGCGUAAAGGGCUCGUAGGUGGUUGAUCGCGUCGGAAGUGUAAUCUUGGGGCUUAACCCUGAGCGUGCUUUCGAUACGGGUUGACUUGAGGAAGGUAGGGGAGAAUGGAAUUCCUGGUGGAGCGGUGGAAUGCGCAGAUAUCAGGAGGAACACCAGUGGCGAAGGCGGUUCUCUGGGCCUUUCCUGACGCUGAGGAGCGAAAGCGUGGGGAGCGAACAGGCUUAGAUACCCUGGUAGUCCACGCUGUAAACGGUGGGUACUAGGUGUGGGGUCCAUUCCACGGGUUCCGUGCCGUAGCUAACGCUUUAAGUACCCCGCCUGGGGAGUACGGCCGCAAGGCUAAAACUCAAAGGAAUUGACGGGGCCCCGCACAAGCGGCGGAGCAUGCGGAUUAAUUCGAUGCAACGCGUAGAACCUUACCUGGGUUUGACAUGGAUCGGGAGUGCUCAGAGAUGGGUGUGCCUCUUUUGGGGUCGGUUCACAGGUGGUGCAUGGCUGUCGUCAGCUCGUGUCGUGAGAUGUUGGGUUAAGUCCCGCAACGAGCGCAACCCUUGUUCACUGUUGCCAGCACGUUAUGGUGGGGACUCAGUGGAGACCGCCGGGGUCAACUCGGAGGAAGGUGGGGAUGACGUCAAGUCAUCAUGCCCCUUAUGUCCAGGGCUUCACGCAUGCUACAAUGGCUGGUACAGAGAGUGGCGAGCCUGUGAGGGUGAGCGAAUCUCGGAAAGCCGGUCUCAGUUCGGAUUGGGGUCUGCAACUCGACCUCAUGAAGUCGGAGUCGCCAGUAAUCGCAGAUCAGCAACGCUGCGGUGAAUACGUUCCCGGGGCUUGUACACACCGCCCGUCAAGUCAUGAAAGUUGGUAACACCCGAAGCCGGUGGCCUAACCGUUGUGGGGGAGCCGUCGAAGGUGGGACUGGUGAUUAGGACUAA